This 117-nucleotide small nuclear RNA is filed under the name Solanum tuberosum (potato). RNAcentral describes it as "snRNA U5". It matches the Rfam family "U5 spliceosomal RNA". From Rfam's summary of the family: U5 RNA is a component of both types of known spliceosome. The precise function of this molecule is unknown, though it is known that the 5' loop is required for splice site selection and p220 binding, and that both the 3' stem-loop and the Sm site are important for Sm protein binding and cap methylation. The record is from Rfam by way of RNAcentral. Lineage: Eukaryota; Viridiplantae; Streptophyta; Magnoliopsida; Solanales; Solanaceae.
AGCCACGCAGUGAGCACAAAGCGAACUAUUCUUUCGCCUUUUACUAAAGAAUACCGUGUGAGCAUUGCAACUAGUGGCAUACGCCAAUUUUUGGAGGGGUUCUCUUCUAUGAGUACC